CAGGACGAACGCUGGCGGCGUGCCUAAUACAUGCAAGUCGAACGGUCUUUCUAUGGAAGCUUGCUUCCACUGAGAAGAUAGUGGCGAACGGGUGAGUAACACGUGGGUAACCUGCCCAUAAGAGGGGGGAUAACAUCCGGAAACGGGUGCUAAUACCGCAUAGUUUUUCUUGAUCGCAUGAUUGAGAAAGGAAAGACGGCCUUUGUGCUGUCGCUUAUGGAUGGACCCGCGGCGUAUUAGUUAGUUGGUGAGGUAACGGCUCACCAAGACGAUGAUACGUAGCCGACCUGAGAGGGUGAUCGGCCACAUUGGGACUGAGACACGGCCCAAACUCCUACGGGAGGCAGCAGUAGGGAAUCUUCCGCAAUGGACGAAAGUCUGACGGAGCAACGCCGCGUGAGUGAAGAAAGGUUUUCGGAUCGUAAAACUCUGUUGUCAGAGAAGAACAAGUUGGAGAGUAACUGCUCCAGCCUUGACGGUAUCUGACCAGAAAGCCACGGCUAACUACGUGCCAGCAGCCGC
Molecule: ribosomal RNA, 522 nt
Filed under: uncultured bacterium
Lineage: Bacteria
Description: bacterial SSU rRNA
Rfam family: Bacterial small subunit ribosomal RNA
Source: RNAcentral